CCAAUAGCGUAUAUUAAAGUUGUUGCAGUUAAAAAGCUCGUAGUUGAAUUUCGGGAUUCGUCCAUUGGUCAGGCUUAACUGUCUGUACUGGUGUGUCGGAUUUCUACCUUCUGAAGAACCUUUAUGCCAUUAAUUUGGUGUGUUGGGGAAUCAGGACUGUUACUUUGAAAAAAUUAGAGUGUUUAAAGCAGGCUAACGUCUGAAUACAUUAGCAUGGAAUAAUGAAAUAGGACGGUACGGUUCUAUUUUGUUGGUUUCUAGGAUCGCCGUAAUGAUUAAUAUGGAUAGUUGGGGGCAUUAGUAUUAAAUUGUCAGAGGUGAAAGUCUUGGAUUUAUUGAAGACUAACUACUGCGAAAGCAUUUGCCAAGGAUGUUUUCAUUAAUCAAGAACGAAAGUUAGGGGAUCGAAGACGAUCAGAUACCGUCGUAGUCUUAACCAUAAACUAUGCCGACUAGGGAUUGGACGAUGUUAAUUUUUUAAUGACUCGUUCAGCACCUUACG
RNAcentral lists this ribosomal RNA (502 nucleotides) under uncultured Diversispora. RNAcentral describes it as "SSU rRNA". It matches the Rfam family "Eukaryotic small subunit ribosomal RNA", at positions 591 to 1092 of the family's 1831-position model. The record is from RNAcentral. Lineage: Eukaryota; Fungi; Glomeromycota; Glomeromycetes; Diversisporales; Diversisporaceae.